GACGAACGCUGGCGGCGUGCUUAACACAUGCAAGUCGAACGAAGAGCGACGGAAGCUUGCUUCUAUCAAUCUUAGUGGCGAACGGGUGAGUAACGCGUAAUCAACCUGCCCUUCAGAGGGGGACAACAGUGGGAAACGACUGCUAAUACCGCAUACGAUCUAACCUCGGCAUCGAGGAUAGAUGAAAGGUGGCCUCUACAUGUAAGCUAUCACUGAAGGAGGGGAUUGCGUCUGAUUAGCUAGUUGGAGGGGUAACGGCCCACCAAGGCGAUGAUCAGUAGCCGGUCGGAGAGGAUGAACGGCCACAUUGGGACUGAGACACGGCCCAGACGCCUGCGGGAGGCAGCAGUGGGGAAUCUUCCGCAAUGGACGAAAGUCUGACGGAGCAACGCCGCGUGAGUGAUGACGGCCUUCGGGUUGUAAAGCUCUGUUACUCGGGACGAAAGGCCUUCUUGCGAAUAGUGAGAAGGAUUGACGGUACCGGAAGAGAAAGCCACGGCUAACUACGUG
This 510-nucleotide ribosomal RNA is filed under the name uncultured bacterium. RNAcentral's name for it is "partial 16S ribosomal RNA". It matches the Rfam family "Bacterial small subunit ribosomal RNA", at positions 28 to 507 of the family's 1533-position model. The record is from RNAcentral.